UACGGAGGGUGCAAGCGUUGUUCGGAAUUAUUGGGCGUAAAGGGCGCGUAGGCGGUUGUGAUAGUCAGAUGUGAAAUCCUCCGGCUUAACUGGAGAACUGCAUCUGAAACCUCAUAGCUAGAGUACAGGAGAGGGAAACGGAAUUCCCAGUGUAGAGGUGGAAUUCGUAGAUAUCGGGAGGAACACCAGUGGCGAAGGCGGUUUCCUGGCCUGAUACUGACGCUGAGGCGCGAAAGCGUGGGGAGCAAACAGGAUUAGAUACCCUGGUA
Molecule: ribosomal RNA, 269 nt
Filed under: uncultured prokaryote
Description: partial 16S ribosomal RNA
Rfam family: Bacterial small subunit ribosomal RNA
Source: RNAcentral